UACGGAGGGUGCGAGCGUUAAUCGGAAUUACUGGGCGUAAAGCGGGCGUAGGCGGCUUGUUAAGUCGGAUGUGAAAGCCCCGGGCUCAACCUGGGAAUUGCAUUCGAUACUGGCUAGCUAGAGUGUGGUAGAGGGUAGCGGAAUUCCCGGUGUAGCGGUGAAAUGCGUAGAUAUCGGGAAGAACACCAGUGGCGAAGGCGGCUACCUGGACCAACACUGACGCUGAGGUCCGAAAGCGUGGGGAGCAAACAGG
RNAcentral lists this ribosomal RNA (253 nucleotides) under uncultured Chromatiales bacterium. Its description in RNAcentral is "partial 16S ribosomal RNA". It matches the Rfam family "Bacterial small subunit ribosomal RNA", at positions 524 to 776 of the family's 1533-position model. Lineage: Bacteria; Pseudomonadati; Pseudomonadota; Gammaproteobacteria; Chromatiales. The record is from RNAcentral.